GUAUAAAAAUCGAAGCGCGCGCUGGAAACCGUUGCCAACGUCUGGCGGUGAGUGUCCCGCGCGCGCCGCCAACAUCUGUUCGGUGGUCCCACGAAUCCAUUAUGGCGUGUAUCGGCUGCCGCCGCCGCUAUCCGUGAUAGCAGCGAACCUGGUGUGCGCGUGUCGUGUUUGAUCCUCGGGUUUUUUUUUCCGAUUUUUUUUUUUUACACUUCUCUCUUCUUCGCGUUGUCGUUUUUCCACCGCCGUACGGGUUCGGAAUUGGUUUUGAGGCGUGUGUGUGCGAGUUUGUGCGUAAUUGCGCGUGCGUGUAGCAUGCGUGUUUCAGUGUCGGUUCGCCGUGCGAGUGUGUGUCCGAUUUUGCUCCGUGUGCGUGCGUACGAGUUGUGGUGGUGAUGCCCAAACGGACGAAAAUAAUAAUAAUAUCGUCGUGUAGAUCUACUGCUGCUGCCGCUGCCGCUGCCGCCGCCGUCGACGCUUCAGUGUAAUAGUCGAAAAAAUAAAAAAAAAAAAAGAAAGAAACGCGUUCGUCUCGCUGCCGCCGCCCGCUAUUCCGCCGCCGUCGUCGUCCGCGCGCACACACACACACCGGGCGUUUUCGAAACGGGUCCGGGACACACAAUAAUAAUAUUUAAUGAAAUAUUUCAAACCGAACCGCCGCGCACACACGUCGUGAUAAUAAUAUUAUUGCUAAAUUCGUACGUAACUACACAAUGUCAUUUUAACGAUCCGUUUCUCAUGGAUAGAAUGAUAGUGACGAUAAUGCAUUUAAUUCGCAUCACAAUAAUAUUCGCGACGUUAUAAUUACAAUUUUAUUUAUACCUAUACACUUUUAUAAAUAUAUAUUCCUUUUCUUUUUUUCCAACUCGACAAUACAACAUUUCAAACCGUUCCGCCAGAGUUUUGCGUGUUUAUAAUAUCAUUUUUUACUCUACGGCCGUCAUCGUCUACAUCACAAACGCGCCAUGGGUCACACACGAUAGUUCCGAGUUCGGUACAUCCGGUGGAAAAAGCCAGUUUAUCGUCGUGUCGCGUCGUGUCGUGUCCGCAGUCCGUCUCCCCUUUGGGUCGUCGCGCUCUCCGUACGCUCGCACGUGAGAUAACAACAGACGUGCAACAACACCAGAGCCUCGUAGUGAACAGGUACAACUCGUCAUGUCUGUGAGUCAACAGUUUUGCCUGCGAUGGAACAACCACCAGAGGACCCUGAUUUCGGUGUUCGACAGUCUGCUGGAAAGUGGCACCCUAGUCGAUUGCACGCUGGCCGCCGAGGGACGGUAUCUAAAAGCGCACAAAGUCGUUUUGUCGGCCUGCAGCCCAUACCUGGGGGUAAGUACGAGAGUACGGUUGGAUAUUAUAAGUCGUAGUACGGAAUCGGAUUUUUUUCGUAAGGAGAUACCCGUUAGUAUCGAGUAUCUUACAAGUAUAUUGGUAUGUGUUUGCGCACGCGUCUAUGUGUGUGUGUUUCGUUUAGGUACUCGUAAUUAUUUCCCUUUGGAAUUCCCGUUGCCAAAGAUAAAAAACAAACAUUAGGUACUUUCCACGUUUUUAUGUGCAGGUAAAUUACCUAGAACUACCGUAAAUAAAAAUAAAUUGUCCGCUCUCCCCCCGGCAUAAUGUUAAUAAAUCUCAGCGAGCAGGAUCUUGACGAAAGUUAGGUAUUCAUUAUUAUGAUUAUUUAUUUUUUUUUUUUAGGGCAUUUCCGUUUUGUUUUGGCCUACUUACGCGCGUGUGUGCGCCGUACGGUGUCUGCACAUGAUUUUCACCAGGCGGUAUGAAAACCAGUUCCACACCCCUUCACUUUUUUUCCUUCCUUUUCCUGUCCCGUUAUUCGCACACAGUGCAAUGACAAAGGAAAUUUCUCUUUUUAUUUUUUUCUUUUUUUUUUUCGUGAAUCGAAUUCCCUUCUACAGUAAUUGGCAAAUAUUUUAUGCCCAACGGAUAAUAAUAAUAGGUAUCUACUAAAGAAUUGACAUACACACGCGCGCCCGCAAAUACACACCUAUUUAUUUACAAAUCAAAUUAAUUAUAAUAUACUUAGACAUGUGUGUGUAUACAGGUAUUUGUCGAGGUAUUUUUGAUAGUAACAUUUUUUUUUAUUUAUUAAUAUUCUAUUUACACCUAGGUAUGCUAUUGAUUGAAUAUAAAUAAUACAAAACACGAUACCUAGGUACUUUGUUUUUGUUGAUAUUAAACAUGUGUUGAUUACAAAUUCCUAAAACAAAUAUUAGAAUUUGUAGAAAAAAAUUUAAAAAACUACUUCUUCACUAUCAUACUGAAUAACAUUAUUUUAUCUAUUUGGAUAUUACCUAAAUAUGAACAUAUAAUAUAGAUAAUCUAGAUAAUAAUAUUUACACAUUUUGUAUGCCUAAAUAUUAUUACAGGGGAACUUGACAUUCACCGAUAGAAAUAUAAACAAUGUAAGGUGAUUCAAACUUUAAACUAAGUACCUACCUAAUUGUUUCAAUACUGAAUAUCAACAUUUUUUUUUUAGCUUUGAAAAAUUGGUGGAUACUGUACCUACCUUUAAUUACUAAUACUAUUUAUCUGCCUACUUCUAAUGAUUGAGGUAUAUCAGUUAGUUCUUCUAAAACAACUUUGUACAUACUACCUAUUCUACGCUAUUAUAGUUAUACUUAAAUAUUGUAUUAUAUUUAAUACAUCAAAAUAACAUUUUAACCAUUAGGUAUUAAUACAAGUUGUAAUCUAAUAAGAUUAUGACCUAUAAUAAUACAAAUUCAACAUUUUUUUCUGACCAAAUACACCUAGGUACCUAGGUAUUUCAGUAUUUGUGUUUCGUUAGUGUAAUAAAUACUUAGCGAAAGUUAAAAAUAAAUGAAAAAUAUUCAAGUAUGGAUUCUGACAGAGGGUAAAUCACCAACAGAAAUGUGUACAAAAUGUACAAAUGUUUGGCCAUCAUACAGAAAAUCCCAUAAAUAAAUCUCUGCAAUCGUUGGGAAAGUCUUGGUAUUCUGGAAUCCGAUGUACAUUGUAUCGAUUAGUGAUUUACCUUUUAGAUUCUGAUAUACAUAGGUUUGUAAUUGAAUACAUACAAAUACCAAAAUUUCAAAAGAAUAUUACUACCAUUAAAUAUUGCUACCGAAUUAUUCUAAUUAUUCCAAAAAAAUAGACAAAGCAUAUUUAUCCAUAAAUUUAGUUUAAGUUUAAUAACGUUUUUUUAAACUAUGUGUCAUGUAUACAAAGUUUUUAUCAAAAUAAAUCUUAUUUAAUCAUUUUAACAUGUAUAAACUCAGCAUUUAAAUGUGUAGGUUACUUGUGUAGUUAUUUUUCCAUUAAAUGUUAUAUUUCUAUUCUUUGUCAGUUUAGUUUUACUUAUAUAGGUACUUACAUUUAUUUAUAAACCCACCUAAUCCUUCUCUAUUUCUAACUAUUACUAUAAGAUACCCUGUGUAAUUAUUAGCAUAAUAUUAUUAGUGUAGGUAGAUUAGAUAUCUAGUUACUAUUAAUAGUUAGAUAUUAUGAUAAUGUUAAAAUCAUUUGCAAUCUACAUCAGGUACCUACCUGAGUACAACCGGAUCUAAAAAUCACUAACAAAGCACCAUAUAAUUAUAAUAUACCUAUUAUGAUUUUUUUUUUUUAAAUUUUAAGUGGGUACUUAAAUAAAUUAUAAUAGAAAUCUACCUAUCUUUGUAUUACCUAUUAACAGCAUACAAUUUCCCUAGCUUUAGUUAAAUUGAACCAACUUAUAAAAAAAAAUUGUAUAUAAGUGCUUCAAAUAAAGUAGGUACUCAUAGGUUCUCUUUUACCUAUUUAUUUUUAAAGGAAUACCAAUAUUUGUAUUAAUCAUAUUAGGUAGGUAGGUAUCUACUGUUUUCUUAUUUACUCCAGUUAAAAUGUAAAAUAAGUUGUAAUAAGAACUUCUUAUAUUUCUAUUAAAAAUUGAAUUUCAACACUUCAUAUUCAUGUUUUUAUUUUUUUAUUUCUAUUUAAUUUUGAAAUAUUUAUCAAUUAUUGUAUGUAUAUACAUACAUUUAUAUACAUAUUUAUGCAUAUCUAUAUGAUAUGAUAAGUCCCAUCCUCGAUCAUUUCUAAUAUUGCUCAUCAAUUGUAUACCUACCUACAAGCCUAUUAUUAUUUUAUUACCUUGGUAUAUAGUAGUGUCUUGGUUAUGCUUUAAAUAUGUAGGUACUCUCUUGUUACCUAUACUAUACUAUAUUCACUGACAUAUUAUACGUAAAAUUAAGAUAAUUAAGUACACAUUUUAUAAUCAAGGUUAUAAUAUAAGUAGGUAUAUAGGUUAUUUAUAUUUGUUUUUAUUUAAAUUAAAUAAAUAUAAUUAUGAGUUUGUUGGUGUCUAAAAGUUUUGCAGUUUAGUAGGAUUCAUUCUUAUUUCUCUAGGUAUGAAAAUAUUAACCUAAGUAAAUUGUUCUAUGAAUAGAAAAUGAAAAAGAAACCAUUUGAAUUAAUAAAAAAAAUAAAUAAAUUGAUCUUUCUUUUUUAAUAAGUGUACUUCCUAUAGGUAAAUUUCCUUUCUCCUUUUUUCCAUCUAGCUUACUAAAAUAUUUUUAUCAGAGCCCUACCCUUCUAGACAUACCUUUCUGAUUUCACUUUCUUGAAAGCCCUCUACUAUUCUGCUUUCAUAUUCUUGGCAUUACAUUCUCUUUGAAUAUUUUUAAUAAACAUCUAGUAGUUUUUCAUACUACCUAUGUAUCCUCUCUCAUUUAAAUGAGUGGUUAUUUGCGUACAGUUUUACAUUUUAUUAAUGUAAUUUAUUAUAUUAAAUUAUGAUUAUAGUUAUAGCUUUCAAGGCAUUGCCAAUUAAUUUUACAAAUAUAUUAAAUUAAAACAUUUAUUACAAUAUACCUACAUUUGUAUUCUUAUGUACCUAUAAAUAUACCCAAAGUAAAUACUUACCUGAAUCAAAUUCCAGAAUUGAGUUUGACUGUUUCAUUUAAAAAAUAGUAUUCUGCAAGAAAUAUACUUAUACAUAUUUUUAUUUUUAGUUAAUAAUUAACUACACAAUAUGAUACAGCUUGGUCUAGUUGCAGCUUUGCACCUAUCUGCCUAAUUUGAAAAAUAUUACAAAUCUUAUGUUAUGUUCAAAUUUGACCUAAUUUUAAGAAUUAGUUACCUGCAUAACUCAUUUCUAAAAAAUGUGCAAAGUGAAAGUUAUUCUAAAAUAAUUAAUGAUUAAAUCCUUAGGUAGUACAAGAUUUAUAACACAAUUGGUAUGGUUAAAUGUGUAAUGACUAAUAGGAAUAACCAAAUGCAUCCUACAUUUGCCUGUUUAUUCAAUGUUUUAUGCAUCCUCGGUUCAACACAUAAACAUGGACAAUUAGAUUCACAGUUUAAACAUAUCUGGAUAUAUUACAUAAACAAAUAAUAACUUAUUAGCAUACUGAUUGAAAUUAUUUUUCUUGACAUUUUCGCACAAAAAGGCAUAUUUUUUUUAAAUGGCUAAACCAAUAAUCACAAAACAAAUGUAUUUUGAAAACUUAAAGUCUCUACUUUACAAUGACACCUUUAUCAUACAAAUUUGUAUUUAUUUUUAUUCUUUAUUUUCAAUUAUUUGUUUAAAAAUUUGAAAUUUAGAACUAAAAUGUAGGUAGAUAGUACUCCUAUAUACCUAUACCUAUUAAAAUAAUUUUUGUUUAUUAUAGGUAAAUACUUUCAAUGGAUAUGUUCUUUAUAUAUUUAGAAAUUAAUACAAUUCUCAAUAUACCUAUAGUAAAUUAAAAUUAUAUUUUCUACUGUAAAAAUAUAUAUUAUUUACCUACUGGGUAAACAUCAGUUCACAAUUUGCAUAAUUUAUCCCUGGCCGUUUUAUGAGUAAUUUUUAAUUUGGUUGAAUUAAUAUAUAGUUUAUCAAGUGUGUUUUGCUCAGUGGCUGAGGCCUCAACUGUCUCAGUUAGCUAGUUUUUGGUAACUAUUUGUUUUCUUAUUAGAUAUGACUAGUCGCUACUGUUCUGAGCAAAAACCACUUAUGUGUAAUAACUUUUAAUGAAACUAGGGUUUUCAUGCUACAAUCAUUUUAUAAUAAAUUUUUAGAUAAAAAUCACAGACUUUAUGUUCUGCUCUCGGUGCAGUUUAAUAGCCAGCCAUUAUCACUUGUAGAAAAUUACUUUAAGGAAAUACCAUUUGAUCAGUAGUUCAACAAUUGGCCAUAGUGGCUAGCCGUGCAUAGGAAAUCAUACCUUUAUUGGCUAGUUGAUGAUUAAGCACUUCAUUACAUAAAUAAACCGAGGAGAAUAUUUAUGUCAUGCUAUAUUUACUAAGUUUAUACUGAUACAUUAUAUUAUAGAUAUUUCUAUAUUGAUAAAUAUACCUAACAAUCAAAUAUCAUAUAUAAAAUAUUGGAUAUAUUUUAUAGCUACAGUUUUAUUAUAUUUUUGAUUUACAUAGAUUUAUAUAUAUAUAUAUAUAUCUUUUACUAUAUUAGGUAAUUAAGAUGGGCUGCAUAUCUAUUAUAUAAUAUUAUAAUAGUUAAACUGGUAGUAUCACUACCCACAGUGAAACUUGUAGUUAAGGGUACCAUUUAAAAUUAUCAAUAUUAUAAAAAAAAUAUAUAUUUAUAAUAUUGUUUAAAUUAUUUUCUCAAUAUAAGUCUUAAUAAAAACCGGUAAAAAUAAAUCUAUAGGUAAAUGCAUAUCUAAAUAAAGUCACAUCUUUGUUUUAGCUUUGAAAUAUUCAAUAAUAUUUGAUAAUAUAUAAUAUUUAUAUAGGUUUAAAUCUUAAACUUGAAUUUCUAACAAUACUUUUAAAAACAAGACUAUACAUAUAUGUAUAAAAUAAUAUCACGUAUCUACUUAAUAUACAAGUGCUUCAAUUAAUACUAAGAUUAAUACUUAUAAAUCUAACAUGAAAUUGUGACAAUUUUAAAAAAUUAUAUUUUUUUUUAUUCAAUAUACAUAAUAUAUUUUAACUGGUAUGAAACAUGUAUCAAAUAUAUUUUUAACAUAAUUUUAAUUUUUUUUAAAGGUUUUAUUGAGCCAACAUCAAGAAAAACACCCAAUUUUAAUUUUAAAAGAUAUCAAAUUUCAAGAACUGAAGUCAAUGUUAGAUUACAUGUAUCGAGGUGAAGUAAAUAUUUCUCAAGAAGAACUUGGUACAUUUUUGAAAGCGGCUGAAUCUCUUCAAAUCAAAGGUUUAACAGAAAGUGCUGGUAUUGGAGUUCGUGAUACUUCAGAUUUUGAGGAUCCAGUAUCUAAACGUUUUGACAACAGAAAACAACCACCUUCUUUAUCAUCAGUCAGUUCUAACUCUCCUACUAUUUGGAACCAAAAUGACACUGUACGUACGUAUUCAAGACCAAGAGAUGGUAGUUUAUCUCCAACCAGUAAAAAACGGAAAUUACAACGAACAAAUGGACCUGAUGAUCAUCAUCAUGAUAAUGGUGAUGAUAGUAUGACUGAAUCUGAACCUCAAGGUGUAGAAAAAUCACCCACUAAUAAUAAUAAUAUUCCUUCUUCGGGCAAUAAGGUAGUUAUUAAAACUGAACAUUAUCGUAAAUCAUGUUCACCAGAAAAAGAAGUGCAUAAGGUAACUGAAAAUCAGGUGGGUAAACCAAAAGUAGAAUCAAUUUCUGGAGAUCGGCAAGAGUGUUUGACAGAAAUGUCCUAUGACGACAGUGUAGAAGAUAUGCCAUUAGAAGAAGAAGAAGAAGAAUAUGAAGAAAAUGAAUUGUCUCAGCCUGGAACUUCACAAGGAGAUACCAAUCACACCGGUAAAUAUUUAAAAAUAAAUUUGAUUUUAAGUUAAAUGUCAGUACAUAUAACUCGAGUAUAAUUUCUUUUUUCCAUUCUUAUAGCAAAGCCACAAACAAAUUCAUGGCAGUUAGAAACAACUAAUCAAGAUAGCACGAAUACUGUUAAUACACCAAUGGAUUGUAAAGGUAAGACUUCUAAAAUAUAUUUGUAAAAAAAAAAAAAAAAAAAAGAUACAUAAAUAAUUAAAUUUUCAACGGAUAAAGUGAACAAAUUAAUUUUAGUGUUAAAUGUGUAUCCAAUAUGCAUGAAAAAAAAAAGAACAAAUCAUUUUUAUUAUUAUAUGGAUGAGGUACCUACAUGUAAAUUUGUAUUAUUACCUAUUAUUUUUUUUUUUUUAAGUACCUACCCAUUAACAAAAACAAAUUUAAAAAAUAAUGUAUACCUAGGUAUGUUGAAUCACAUAAAAAAUAUAUAAUUAUUAAAGUUAAUUUUUUGAAAUAUCAUUUAUGAUUAGAUAUUUUUUUGUAUAAAUAAAAUAAAAUAAAAGGCUUAAAUACUAGGUAUCCUUUUGAGAAUGUUGUAAUACAUUUAAAUCAAAUUUGAAUUUUUACUAUUUGGAAAAAUUGGAAAAACUAGAUUCAAGUACAUUUACUUAAGAUCAAAUAAAUAUUGGUUUAUUUUAUACACCUAUUUAAAAUUAAUAAUUUAUGUAUAGGCAAAUUAUAUUUAUAUGUGUUAUUUUUUAUUCUACUUUCCAAGUUGGUUAACAAAAAUGAUUCUAUUAACACACUAUUGUAUUAUAAUAUGCAUGUUAUUAUGAGUUUGGUUUAUUUUAUAUGCAUGUAUCUGAGCUUGGUUUCAUGGUUUGCUUUUAUAGUUUUUUUUUAUAAAACUUGUAAAUAUUUGCUUAAAUUUUUGUAUUAUAUCUUAGAUCAUAGUAUUUUAGCGAACAAUGAAAUUACAGGUAAACAUAAGUAAGUUUUAUUUUAAUAAUUAUAUUAUAUCUUGUACUCUUCACCAAAUGAUAAAUUAAGGUUAUCUAGCGCGAUUGUAUAUAUAUAUACCAUAUUAAAAUCUGAAAUUUAUUUUAAUAAUGAUGUGAAGAUUUCCUCUGAGAAUGACCAGAUUACUAGCAUUUCUUAUCUUUAUUCACUGUUUAAAUAUAGACAAGAUUAUGAUUCAAAUUGUAAUACAAACAGAUCUACUAAGUGUGAUUAAAGUCCAAAUAAAUAUUAACUACUGUUGAUGGAUAAUGAGAAUUAAGAUCUACAAAUUUAUUUUAUUGUUACAUUUAAUUUUAGUCACGUUGCUUACAAAUUAUAAGAUACUAUAUAAGAAAAUGUAUUGAUUGUAUAUUAUGUUAUAGUAAAUUGUCAUGUCAAUUUACAUUUAAAAAAACAAGUGCUGUUUUAAUUUUUUUACUAAUUAUCAUUUAUUGGAGCAUUUUUCAUUUAGUAUAAGUUAUAUUUCAUAGAAUAUUUUUUUUCCUUGUAAAUUCUAUCUAGUUUUUAAAUACAACAAUAAAAAUAACAUUAUAGGAAUCAAUAAUUAAUAAUUCAAGAUAAUAAAUUGUUUAAUAGAAUUCUUUGUUUAGUUUUUUUUCAUUUUAAUGAGCAACUACUUUUUUUCUGACACCACUCGCCAUACAGGAUAUAAUAAAACAUUCCUUAUCUGUGGCCUUUCUUUGAUAUCUUAAUACAGGUUUAUCAUUGACCAUUUGACAGAGCACAAAGUUUGUUUCUUAUGAUCAGUAUUCAUGUUGGUAAAAUUGUUUAACUGCUAUUAGUCCUUAUAGUAUUAGAACCAAAAAAAAUUAUAGACAUCUGUACUAAAUUAGUAAUUCUAAUAAUUUAAAAGUUGUUAUUAAACAUAUGAAAUAUUUGAUAAAAUAAAUAAAAAAAAUGUUUCUUUAUUUUAUUAAUACCACUACAAUUUUUAUUUUCCAAAAACGUUAUACUCAUAAUAAUAAUUAGUGUUAUAAAAAUAUAAUUAAUAACCAUAUAUCAUUUGUAAAAAAAUUAAAGUCCUAAUAAUUGUGCUUUAACUACUUAUGAAAUCCUUUAGGUGAAAUGGUUUUUAUUUUUGUACAAAAUUUAAUUUUCCAUUUCUUCAAUGGACCUUCAAAACUUAAAACUUUAAAUUUGAAUAACUGCAAAUAUGUAUUUUACAGAAUUUUAAAAGUCCCCCCCUAUAAUUAAAAUUAAAAAUAUGAAUGUGUUUCAUACAAUUUUCCUAUGUUUUCUUACAGUUUUUUCAAUGCAGGUACAAUGUAACCAUUCUUUAAUUAAAUUUUCAUUAUCUUAUGCUUAAUACAGUAUUGUUAUUAUUCUGAAAUGUAUGAAAUCAAAAUAUUAUAUUGACAUAUAUUUUAUAAGGUAUUCUUCAAAACCUAUUCCUAAUUUAUUAAAUAUAAAGAUAAAGAAAACAAAAACAUAAAUAAUUCAAAAUUGUAAAAUAAAAUAUAAAAGUAUUUAAUUCAAUUAUAUAGAAUAAAUAUCUAUUAUUGAUAUUUAUUAGUGAUUAAUGGUAAAAUUAAUGUAUUUAAUUAUAUGAUAUUAAAUAAAACAAAUAAAUUGUAUCAUGAUGCAACAUUUAUCUAAUUGCCUAUUAGCCAUACCAAUUAAUAUUUUUCUCAAAAAUUCCUAACUUAAAAUGUAUGCAUUACCUACAUUUAGUAUUUACUUAUAUUUAGAUCUUUUAUAGAUGAAGUGUUGUUUUUUAUAUAUUCAAUUUAAUUUGUAUUUCUAAUAUGCUACAUAAGCAAUUAUCUUUUUAGAAACAAGUGUUUACUAAUUAAAACUAUAUAUCAUAGAAUUAAUAAAUCCCAGAAAAAAGUUGGUUUCAGAAAGCUCAAUACUUAGAUGUUGAAACCGCAUUUAAUUGACUGUCCACCUAAUAUAUUCUAAAUUGAAUGAUUGUUCUAUUAAGUAUCAUAAUUUUUUUUUUUUUUUUUUUUUCAUAAAUAAUUGACACUGAAUUAUAGUUAAUUAUAUACAUAAGCAUUUUAAAUUUAAUUUUUAAAUUAAAAACAGCAAAAUAUGUUAGUUUUGAUCAAUAAAAAAAGAAAUAACCAAAUUCAUAGUCUCCCAUUGUCAUUCAAAUACUGUACUAAUAAUAUAUAUUCCAUAAAUUAUUUAAUUCACAUAUUCAUUAUAAACAGAUAUUGUAUAAAAAACAUGCAUCUUGAAACGAAAAUAAAUAAAUAAAAUAGGUAACUCAUUAUAUUUUGAUUUGAUAUUAUUUAUAUUUAAAUUAUUAUACUCAUUUACAUAUUAUGCAGUAUCAUUUAAAUUUGAAUUAAAAGUAAUACUUUUUUAUUUUAAUUUGUAUAUGAGAGAUACAUAGUAAAAAUCUAAGUGUAUUUUCAGAUAUUUUAAUAACAGCCUCUGAUAUUUUAAUAUUUAUAACACAAUUUACACUCAGUGUUUUUUUUUUAUUGUUUUACAAAGUAAUUAUUUUAUCAUGAACCAGUAAUUUUCUUGGAGGGUUUUUAGUGAAGUUGAUUUCUGUUAGGUUUUUUUUUAAUUGUUUAAGCUUUUUUUAAAAAAAAACUUAUUUAAUAAUUAAUAAUAAGCAUAAUAAAUUGCAUAUCUAUUUUUAAAUGUUUAAAAUAUUAUUUAAUGAUCAAUUGAUGAUAAAUAACUCUUCUAGUCUAAAUUCAGUUCUAUAGCUCAUAAACAGUAAAUCUGAUAUUAGUGUUACGAAUAUCAACAUUUCUAGAAAAUUUGAAUCUUUGACUGAAAAGGAGGGAGAGUGCUAUUUAAAAAUACAAAGUGGAUACUUAUUUCAAUUGUAAAAAGUAAAAUUUAAAAUUUAAAAAUAAUGUUGAAGUAAACAAUUUUAUAAUAGUUAAAAAAAAAAAAAUUGAAAUCAAAUUGACUUAAAAUUCUCUGUGAAAAUUGGCUCAUAAUAAAACAAAUUAUUCUGUAUAUUGUAUAUUAUAAUAUUAAAUCUGGAUUUUUUUAUUUUAUACAAAUAUUUGUUACAAUAUGGGCUUUGUUUUUGUUUUUUUUUUUAUAUUUGUAUGAAUGAAGAGAUUGCCAUUGUUUACAAAAAAAUUAACUUAAAUGUAUUUAACUUAUUAAUCGUAUACUUUCAAAUGAUCAUUAUUCCAGUAAUCAUCAGCAUGUCAUGUUAAUUAUUGAAUAUUAAAAAAAAAAAACACAUGUCAUAUAAUAUAUAUAAGCAAAAGCAAUACAUAUUUGAAUGUAUAUUAUUUUGUUAUUAGACAGACUAAGAGUAAUAUUUUGUGUUAGUCAUGCUGGUACACAUUGAUUUUUAUUCUGUCUUAUUCAUUAAUUUUUGAAGAGAGAAAAACCCGCAAAUCCGGAAAUGGAAAUAUUGUACAUAUUUUAAAUUAUAUUCUUAACUAAUAAUGGGCAUGGAUGUACUAACUUGGUCCGGUUAGAUUACAAACAAUUUUUUAUUAUUAUUAUUGUUAUUAUUAUUCUGGAAACUGUAUGUGGUAUGUGUGUUGUGUGUGCUUUCCUUAGCAAUACGCUGUACGAGGUGCGGCCGUCUUUACAAAUUGAAGAGCUCAUUGUUGAACCAUCAGCGCUGGGAGUGCGGUAAAGAGCCGCAAUUCAAAUGCUACAUGUGCUCAUACAAAGCAAAACAGAAAGCUCACUUGUUGACGCAUAUGAAGUACAGGCAUAAAACUGAUAAUAAUAUGAUCAAAAUAGAAUAUUUUUAUUAACAUAUUAUUAUAUUCCACAUUUUGAAGUUAUCUAUUAUACAGGAAAGAGUGCUCCAAUAUUUUAUUUUUAAUAGGAUUAGGAAAUAAACUAUAAUUUAGUUACUUGUCAUCAUUACUGUAUUUUUAAAAUAUAUCUACUGAUUUUCCAGUUAUAUGUGUAGAUAGUGUUAACAUUUAUGAACUAGACUAAUGGUAAUAAUAUAUAAUAUGUGUAUUAUGUAUAUUAUAUAUACAAUGAUAUAUAACUAUUAUAUUUUUUUUUUUUCAUAUAUUAUUAUUAAAGGGCUGUGUUUUGUAUAUUUGUAAACUAGGUGUUUCAAUUGUUUUUACUUUAAUUUUAACAGUAUUAUAUAUAUAUAUAUAUUUACUUUAAAUUAAACAUUAA
Molecule: long non-coding RNA, 12745 nt
Filed under: Cinara cedri
Lineage: Eukaryota; Metazoa; Arthropoda; Insecta; Hemiptera; Aphididae
Source: RNAcentral